RNAcentral lists this ribosomal RNA (351 nucleotides) under uncultured bacterium. RNAcentral describes it as "bacterial SSU rRNA". It matches the Rfam family "Bacterial small subunit ribosomal RNA", at positions 917 to 1269 of the family's 1533-position model. The record is from RNAcentral.
GGGCCCGCACAAGCGGUGGAGCAUGUGGUUUAAUUCGAUGAUACGCGAGGAACCUUACCAGGGCUUAAAUGUAGUAUGACCGGCUUGGAAACAGGCCUUCUCUUCGGAGCAGAUUACAAGGUGCUGCAUGGUUGUCGUCAGCUCGUGCCGUGAGGUGUUAGGUUAAGUCCUGCAACGAGCGCAACCCCUAUUCUUAGUUGCCAGCGGUUCGGCCGGGGACUCUAAGAAGACUGCCGGUGCAAACCGCGAGGAAGGUGGGGAUGACGUCAAAUCAUCACGGCCCUUACGUCCUGGGCUACACACGUGCUACAAUGGCCGGUACAGAGGGCAGCCACACCGCAAGGUGGAGCG